GGCGGGCGGAUCGACGGAAACGAAAGUUUUUCGGUUCCGGGGGAAGUAUGGUUGCAAAGCUGAAACUUAAAGGAAUUGACGGAAGGGCACCACCAGGAGUGGAGCUUGCGGCUUAAUUUGACUCAACACGGGAAACCUCACCCGGCCAGUACAUCAUAAGGAUUGACAGAUUGAUAGCUCUUUCAUGAUUUGAUGAAUGGUGGUGCAUGGCCGUUCUUAGUUCGUGACGUGAGUCGUCUGCUUAAUUGCGAUAACGAGCGAGACUCCGUCUGCUAAAUACCGGCUGGAUUUUUUGGUCCAUGUAGGUUCUUAGCUGGAUUCGAGACUGCAAGUCUUAAGAAAUGGAGCAAUAACAGGUCUGUGAUGCCCUUAGAUGUUCGGGGCCGCACGCGUGCUACAAUGAUGGUAACAGCGUGAUUGUCCUCGCCCGAGAGGGUCUGGCAAACAGUUGAGAUAUUAUUACUGGCAGG
RNAcentral lists this ribosomal RNA (470 nucleotides) under Ficophagus sp. ex Ficus hirta var. roxburghii YN-3. RNAcentral describes it as "SSU rRNA". It matches the Rfam family "Eukaryotic small subunit ribosomal RNA", at positions 1078 to 1574 of the family's 1831-position model. The record is from RNAcentral. Lineage: Eukaryota; Metazoa; Nematoda; Chromadorea; Rhabditida; Aphelenchoididae.